Molecule: long non-coding RNA, 411 nt
Organism: Saccostrea cuccullata (small rock oyster)
Lineage: Eukaryota; Metazoa; Mollusca; Bivalvia; Ostreida; Ostreidae
Exons: 3
Source: RefSeq, a predicted model, not a curated record
AACGUCUGCUCUGUCUAAAGGAGGAAGUUUGUUUACCAGACAGCCUGAGAUCGUAUUGCUGUAUCAACCAAAAGAUGCAGAUACACGUAUUUCAUAUGCAUGUCUGUGCAUGAGGAGGAGAUUUCUGAAAGUGGUUAUUCAACUUACUGCGAUUUUAACAGGCUUAAAGCUUGGUCCAUGGAUGGUUAUGUUUGAGGAUUUGCCAAUUCGACUGCAAGUGCUGCUGCAAGAAAUUAAACAUGCAGUGACCUUACAACAGUGUACAAAUUACAAAGAAGUCUGAAGAAAAUUUUUAUUAGACAGAUGGGUGCAAAGCACAGACCUGAGAUAUAAAUUGAAUUGUGAGAAAUAUGAAUCAGGGAUGCAGGUAGAAAAUGGCAAAUGUGAUCCAGAUUGAGAAAAAAUGUCUAA